UGGAUUGAGCCUUGGUAGGGAAAAUCCGUCGACUUUAUAAAUCGUGAGGGUUCAAGUCCCUCUAUCCCC
This 69-nucleotide transfer RNA is filed under the name Oxalis oreocharis. Its description in RNAcentral is "partial tRNA-Leu". The record is from RNAcentral. Lineage: Eukaryota; Viridiplantae; Streptophyta; Magnoliopsida; Oxalidales; Oxalidaceae.